Quercus robur (English oak) is the source of this 999-nucleotide long non-coding RNA. RefSeq lists it as uncharacterized. The transcript has 3 exons. Lineage: Eukaryota; Viridiplantae; Streptophyta; Magnoliopsida; Fagales; Fagaceae. The record is from RefSeq and is a predicted model, not a curated record.
ACAUUCCCACACAAACUUUAAGUCUUGAUACGGGUUUAGACACAAUCAGGCCAUCAGGUGCCUACAUCGGUCAGGUUGGAACCUGGUGUCUUAGGUUGCUUGGGUUGUGAUCAGGAGCUCGGAAAUUUGUUUAGUUCUUCAAGAAAGAGGAUUGGAACUAAUCUUGGAAGAUUUGGGAGGAACAUCCAUCAGAAGUUGAUGUGUGGGUUUUUCACCAAGGAAGGAAGGACAAUGCCUCUGUACAAAAUCUUCAAAUCAUCCUGAAUUGGUACUGUUCUAUCUUGGGUCAGUCUAUCAAUCUUGCCAAAUCUGAUGUGUUUUACUCACCCAACAUGCCUUUGGAGGAACAACAAGCCCUUGCUAGAACCCUUCAGGUUAAUUUGGUUCAACAACCCAGUGCAGAGAAGCAAUCUCAAACAGGAACCGUUCAGGAGGCAGGGAGGGCAGUGGCAUCAGAUCAGGAAGGGAGAGUGCAUCAGAUCAGAGCAGAACAGGGAGGCAGAGUGUAGCAGGGGAUUGACAGAUAAUUAUCAAGAUUGUAAAUAGUAGAAGCAGAAAGUUUCAUAGAUAUGGUACUGUUUAUGAGGGUCUAACAGUUCAAGGGGGGGAAGGUGUUUUUUGGAGCUAUUAGUAGUAAUGCUCAGACGUCAAGCAUAGCCUCCUGCAGUGCUGACAGCAAAGAGUCAAGGAUUUCAGCAGAUUUUGGUUCUUAGCAAUAGCAGAAGCCUUAUGCAGACUUAUAGGCACAACACAGCUGUUGAUUAGUUAGAUAGUACUAGGCUAAGUGAUCUAAGGUUUUUAAACCAAAAUGGUAUUUGCUGUGAUGUCUUUUGGGUUCCCACUGUGAUUGUAAAGGACUUGAGAGCUGUAGCUUGCUUGGCAACUCGUGUGCCAAUGCAUUUUUGUUGGUUUUCUGCAGCUGGUCCUACUCUUUUGUAAUAUAACUGUUGUAAUAUUUUCUCCCUUGAAAGGUAUGGAAAAAGGAUUUUGAAAUACUAA